AAAAUAAGGGUCACACAGUCAGCUAGAGCAUGCAUGGAUGUACUGGGAAGGAACUGAAAUGCAAAUUUGUGAAUUACACAGGAAUUCACAUAUAGCCAGACCUAAUUGAUUUUGGAACCACAAGCAUAAUACAUGAUUCACUUGAGUUCCAGAGAUCUAAAGGAAGAAACACAUCAAGAUUCAACUAGAUGCUCUACAACAGUGGCCUGUAGACAGUAAUUAUGAAGAAGGUAAGAAAGAUGAAGAAGACAGGUUGGAUUUCAUUUAUGACUUGAAUGUUUAAUCCCUGAAGUAGCAGUGGGGAUGCAGAAG
RNAcentral lists this long non-coding RNA (312 nucleotides) under Cricetulus griseus (Chinese hamster). RNAcentral describes it as "lncRNA (ENSCGRG00000026269.1)". Lineage: Eukaryota; Metazoa; Chordata; Mammalia; Rodentia; Cricetidae. The record is from RNAcentral.